UCGAGAAUUUUUCACAAUGGGCGAAAGCCUGAUGGAGCGACGCCGCGUGGGGGAUGAAUGGCUUCGGCCCGUAAACCCCUGUCAUUUGCGAUCAAACGUUAUUAUUUAAAAGAUGAUGACCUGAUAGUAGCGAAAGAGGAAGGGACGGCUAACUCUGUGCCAGCAGCCGCGGUAAUACAGAGGUCCCAAGCGUUGUUCGGAUUCACUGGGCGUAAAGGGUGCGUAGGUGGCGAGGUAAGUCGGAUGUGAAAGCUCGGAGCUCAACUCCGAAAUGGCAUUGGAAACUACCUUGCUCGAGGGUUGGAGGGGGGACUGGAAUUCUCGGUGUAGCAGUGAAAUGCGUAGAUAUCGAGAGGAACACCAGUGGCGAAGGCGAGUCCCUGGACAACUCCUGACACUGAGGCACGAAAGCUAGGGGAGCAAACAGGAUUAGAUACCCCCGUAGUCC
Molecule: ribosomal RNA, 448 nt
Filed under: uncultured bacterium
Lineage: Bacteria
Description: bacterial SSU rRNA
Rfam family: Bacterial small subunit ribosomal RNA
Source: RNAcentral